This is a non-coding RNA of Taeniopygia guttata (zebra finch), 1125 nucleotides long. The record is from RefSeq and is a predicted model, not a curated record. NCBI's taxonomy places the organism in Eukaryota, Metazoa, Chordata, Aves, Passeriformes, Estrildidae.
GAGUGGGAAUGGGACGGGGAAUGGGAAUGGGGACAGGGAGUGGGAAUGGGGACAGGAUGGCGUUGGAAGUGGAGUAGCCCUACAGCUGGGAGCCCUUCUGGGCUGGGAGAUGGAGCAGGAGAGAGGGGAAAAUGGGCAGUGACUUCCUUCAAACCUGGCUGGGCCAGGCCAUCUUCCCCUUUUUCACAGUCCCCUCCUCCAUUGAGCCAAGGUUUGGGAAAUGGAAUUCCUGUUCUGGGGGAAAAACAAGGUGCGGGUGUGUUGCCUUGGGUGUUUCUCCUGCCCAGUUCCAUCUCUUGAAGUCACCAGGCAUCUGGUGUCCAUAAAAACCUCCAGACCACCAAGAUUCAGGCAUUCUCAAAAACCACCAAGUUUCACCAAACAACCAUCCACCCAGGAGUUCUCCCUCCCUCUCUGGUCUCUCCACUUUGGUGGUCAGGGGCUCCCUCCUGUCUUUUGCAGCUCCAGUGUGUAUUGGUAUCCCCUCUCUCUGCACUGCUGGGGCUCCUGGCAAUCCCAGAGUUUCCCCUUCUUUGGACUCCCCAGGCUGCAGAGGGUCCCCAAGCUCUGGUACCACCCUUCUCUGCUCUCCCAACCCUCACCCCUUCCAGGCGAUGGGCACAUGGCUCUGGGCUGACAAUGAAGCACCUGACCUGAGCAGCCCAACCACCACCAUGGGAGGGUCCCACACAUCCCCUGGCCCAGCGCUGAGGCUCUGCCAGUAGCCAACACCAGGACCUCCCAAAAUCCUGCCGCCUUGGAGCUGCUGAGCAGGUGUCUGACUUGUGGGAGCUUGUCCUGGAGCAGACAGGCCAGGAACUGGCCCUAGAGCCACCCAGCAGACAUGGAACAUCAAGCUUCAAGAGAUAAGAAGCCACAACUGAUGACAUCCAGGCAGCUUAUGGCACUGAGCAAGGGACUCUGGGACCAAUUGGGAGUGGCUGUGCAGAUCAGGAUGGUGUAACAGCCCAUGACUGGCCAGAAGGCUUCUGGAACAUUCUAUGGGAGACUAUAUAUGUAUGUGUUGGCCCCACUUCGGGGUCAUCUGAAGCAGCCUUUUAUAUUUUGUUUGGCACGCUUAUUUGUGUCUUUUUAUUUAUUCAAUAAACUUCUCCAGUUUUGGCA